This 1230-nucleotide long non-coding RNA is filed under the name Heterocephalus glaber (naked mole-rat). RNAcentral's name for it is "lncRNA (ENSHGLG00100038951.1)". Lineage: Eukaryota; Metazoa; Chordata; Mammalia; Rodentia; Bathyergidae. The record is from RNAcentral.
GGCCCUGUGGUCCUGGCCUGGCCUCCUUUGGGACAGAGAUCCUAUGAUUGAGUCUCCCAAAUGCCCUGCCAAUCUGCUGCUCAAGCUCCUUGCUUGCCCUUCUGUAUUUCCUCUGAAGUAUAUUUUGUUGCCAUUUUCCGGUCAAAUAUUUUAAAACUUAGAUAUUUGGUUUUUAGUGGUUCCUUUGUGAAUUCAGUUCUUCCUCUAAAGGUACUCUCUUUUAUGUUAUGUGGAAUUUGUUGCUGGAUUGCCCUGUCACCACCACCAAAGGCUCAGAUAUUCUUUCUUCUCCAAUUUAACUCCAGUUUGUCAGCUGCUGAGUGGUGUAAAAUUCUUUUGCCGAGGAACAAGACCAUCCCAGUCAACUCCAUCCCACAGCCUGGCCAGUCAGCAGAGCGGACACCAUCUUAGGCCUCUUAUUUUUUCUUUUGCCCAAGUGUCUGAAAGGAGCAUCCUCUUUAAUUUAAGCCUACAUGUGGAGUGAACAUCCUUGCCUGUGACUCCCGAACAACAUAAACAGCUGUUUCUUGAAGACAGACAAGGAAGAGUAAAAUGGUUGGGAGAGAGAGAGUCUAUACAUUAAUGUCCAGCACCGAGUGAGCCCUUGUGAAGUGUGGACCUUGGAGAGCAUGUCAAGCAGUCUCAUUCAUUUUAACAAAUGCACCGUACUGGUGGGGGAUGAGGAGAAAGGACCAGGUGGGGGCACAAGGAAGAAUGCUGCAACCUGUUUCCUGAGAUGAAGUAUGGCUCUUAGAGACGGGCAUUUGGUGCACAGACUUCGGCCGGAAUACCUUUGCUCCUCCACACGUUCUAACUGGCAAAAACAACCUCAGACUGCAGUAGGGAAAUAUCUGAAAUGAUCCUGCAAGAUAUUUGUCUCCUCAACUUGGAUAUACUCUGAAGCUAAAGCUUUACUUCUAAUGAGUAGCAUAUAGUAAGAAUGCCAGCUGCAAUGCUGUGAGCCUCUCCACAGGAGGCCCACAGAGUGAGGAACUAGGAGAGGCACCUGUCAUCAGCCAGUGAGCAUGAAGGCCCUUGGUCCAAUGGCUUAAGAACUGGAUUCUGCACGAACACCCUGUGACCUUGGAAAUGGGUAUUUCCCCAGUCAAAGCUUCAGAUGAUGAAGCAAAGUUGAGAACACUCCCUGCCCGGUGUGCGGUGUAGAAGCAGAGGGUGGGAAGAAUCCGACUCCACUCCAGUUCCCCAGCCAAGCUCUGUCCACAGCGCCAC